GAUGAACGCUGGCGGCGUGCUUAACACAUGCAAGUCGAACGAAGCACCUUGAUUCGAUUCUUCGGAUGAAGAUCUUGGUGACUGAGUGGCGGACGGGUGAGUAACGCGUGGGUAACCUGCCUCAUACAGGGGGAUAACAGUUAGAAAUGACUGCUAAUACCGCAUAAGACCACAGCACCGCAUGGUGCAGGGGUAAAAACUGCGGUGGUAUGAGAUGGACCCGCGUCUGAUUAGGUAGUUGGUGGGGUAACGGCCUACCAAGCCGACGAUCAGUAGCCGACCUGAGAGGGUGACCGGCCACAUUGGGACUGAGACACGGCCCAAACUCCUACGGGAGGCAGCAGUGGGGAAUAUUGCACAAUGGGGGAAACCCUGAUGCAGCGACGCCGCGUGAGCGAUGAAGUAUUUCGGUAUGUAAAGCUCUAUCAGCAGGGAAGAAAAUGACGGUACCUGACUAAGAAGCACCGGCUAAAUACGUG
This 479-nucleotide ribosomal RNA is filed under the name uncultured bacterium. RNAcentral describes it as "partial 16S ribosomal RNA". It matches the Rfam family "Bacterial small subunit ribosomal RNA", at positions 28 to 507 of the family's 1533-position model. The record is from RNAcentral.